Long non-coding RNA from Cornus florida, 2299 nucleotides. RefSeq lists it as uncharacterized. The record is from RefSeq and is a predicted model, not a curated record. Lineage: Eukaryota; Viridiplantae; Streptophyta; Magnoliopsida; Cornales; Cornaceae. The transcript has 5 exons.
CAGGUGUAUUAAUAUACAUUUGGUCCUAACCCUGGUCUCAUUUACUAUCAUUUAUCAGUGUUCUGUCAACCGUUGGCCAUCCCCACCUCGCCGCCGUCCAUCUUCCAUUGGCCACCGUCGAUUGUUCAUCCCUCUCUAGUUCACGAUUGUCCAACCUGCCUACAUCUGAUCCAAGAAUCUGAAACCCAAGUUUCCCAUUAUUUAUUUUCUCUGCAACAAAAUCCCCCCUAUUAUCUUUCAGUUCUAGGGUUUUAAUCUGUUUUACCGCUAUGCAUAUGUUUAUAGCUUUCAUUAUCUGAUAUUAUUAUUAUUAUUAUUGUUUUGUUGUGAUUGGGUUUUCUUUUUGAUCCAUUUGAUUGCUAGCAAGACAUAUACGAAUACAUAAAAAUUAGAUUUCUUACCUUUUGGAUUAUUUGUUUUAUUUUAGUUGUGCCUGAAACCUUCCUGAUUGAUACUAUUAUCUGAUCUUAUGCUUUGAUAUGCUUAUUUCUGUAUAAUAACUGUUAGUGUCAGUGAAAACUGAAAUUAGUGACAUUUCCGUAAUGAAAUAUAAUGCCUUUUUUACAACCCUAUUAAGACCGGUGAAUGAUCCUCCCAUGUACUUGAAUUCUUGAGGUUAGAGCAAUUUCAUUGUUUAAUCUAGAAGCGAACCUAAUAAGUUUUUAAAAUUGCAUGAAUGAGGUGAUUGAUGCUAGAAAUAAUCUUAGGUAGGUAGGAUGCUCCUUGAGUCUCACCUUUGACAUAGACGUUAAGUGAAAUGAACCACAAUAAUUAAAUCAUGCAAACUUAUAAAAUGUAGUUCGAUGCAUGCUCAUUUCCUACGAGUAGUUUUAUAUUACUCACCCCUACGAUACUGGGGCAUAUUUCAGGUACAAAAAUCAAAGUUGAGGUCUUCAUUAUGCUUGGAUGGUUUGUGGACUUGGAGACUUCCAUUUUUGUGAAGGUUGGCUUGGAAUGCCAAUUAUAGUCUUAUAUGUCAACAUGUGUACAUUUGAUUCCUUAUAUGUAAUGUGUAUAUGAGUACACUCUUUAUAAUGUAUUUGACAUGUAUGUCCAGCAACAGGGAAUACUCCAACCUCAGAGAAGAUUACUUCGGAACUCCCCCUUCAGACCCAGGUGGUUCUUGGUCAGGGUUCUACCUCGAGUUAUCCAGUUCGAAGCAACGAUUGGAUCCCCAGUCACAGUUCCACAUUGACACCAUUUAGGAGGGAUUUUACAGGAGCGGAUAUUUUGAUUCCAGCAAUCAGAGUUAUUCCUAUCUCAGAGAAGAUUACUUCAGAAAUCCGUUCCUGUAAAAUCCUUCCUACAUGGUGUCAAUCUUCAGGAAGCUUAUACUAAUCCAUCUUCAGGAAGCUCAAACUAAUUGUUUGAAACUGUUGAACUGCAUGGUUAAUUGGCAACUCACUUUUUUCGGUUCAUCUGAUGUUGAUGUACCAUCGUUCUGUGCUUAUGGAUGCUCAUUACAGCUGACUCUUUCAACUGCCCGACACAUAAUUCACCUGUGCCGUCUAGACACCUAACUCAACAUUCAAAGGCGGUUCUUGGUCGGGGUUUUAACUCGAGAUAUCCAGUUUGAAGCAACAGAUGGAUCCCUAGUCACUGUUCCACAUUGACACCAUCUAGUAGGGAAUCGACAGGAACAGAUAUUUCAAUUGCAGCAACUGGAGAUAUCAUCUCAGAGAAGAUUACUUCAGAAAUCCCCAUUCAGAUUCAGGUCUCUAAUUUCCAGCUGCCUCCUUGAUGUACCCAAGUCAACACGAAAAGAUGACUCCCAAUCAUACUGGCACCCCGAGGUUGGCAAAAGGGGGGCAAUAAAACAGACAACUCUAAAACAAAUACAAAAAAUGAUGAAGUGAUGUCCCCUCAAACUCAGGCCCAACUAGUUGCUACUCUCUCUGCACCCCAUUAGGUUGUAUCUGACAACCAUCUGUCAAUAAGGGAGGCUAAUGAAGCCUCAAAUAUUGUUGGGAGCACACUAAAAGGAAGUGCCAACAACGGCAACGAAAGGGAAGAGCAUGAAAGUACCAGAGGGAUCACCAAUCACUCUUACAUUUUGACACCAUCAAAGAUGGAUUUUGCAGAAAUGGAUAUUUUGAGUCCAGCAACACGGGAUAUUCCAACCUCAGAGAAGAUUACUUCAGAACUACCCCUUCAGACUCAGGUGUCUAAUUCUCCAGCUGCUUCCUUGAUGUACCCAAGUCAACAUGAAAAGAUGAUUCCCAGUCAUACUGGCAGCCCCAAGUUGGCAAAAGACGGGAAAAGCAAUUCAGCAAUGGUAACCAAAGGGAAGAGAAUCUAG